ACGUAGGGUGCGAGCGUUGUCCGGAAUUACUGGGCGUAAAGAGCUCGUAGGCGGUUUGUCGCGUCGUCCGUGAAAACUUGGGGCUCAACCCCAAGCUUGCGGGCGAUACGGGCAGACUUGAGUACUGCAGGGGAGACUGGAAUUCCUGGUGUAGCGGUGAAAUGCGCAGAUAUCAGGAGGAACACCGGUGGCGAAGGCGGGUCUCUGGGCAGUAACUGACGCUGAGGAGCGAAAGCGUGGGUAGCGAACAG
This 251-nucleotide ribosomal RNA is filed under the name uncultured prokaryote. RNAcentral's name for it is "partial 16S rRNA". It matches the Rfam family "Bacterial small subunit ribosomal RNA", at positions 525 to 775 of the family's 1533-position model. The record is from RNAcentral.